This 1602-nucleotide long non-coding RNA is filed under the name Sorghum bicolor (sorghum). RNAcentral's name for it is "long non-coding RNA (SBIC_LNC003598)". The record is from RNAcentral. Lineage: Eukaryota; Viridiplantae; Streptophyta; Magnoliopsida; Poales; Poaceae.
GCGCCUACCCAAAGCGUCCAUCUGUGCCAACGAAACUCGUUUGCUUUCUCAGUGGGAGUUUCGAUCUCGUUUCAUAGUGUUAGAAACGCUACCCAACUCGUGUCGUGGGGAUGAAAUAAAUUUCUUCUCUCUUCUCUUCGUUUCAUGUAAAAAGGCCAAAUCUUCUAUCGUGGCACCCUAAUAAAUGUGCAUAACAUCCUCAUAAAACGUCUAAUUGAAACUGACCUAAUACUCUGGAUCCGCCCGUGGUGCUGUGAUGUUUCGUCUGUCCUCUAUUAUAAGCUUGAUUGACAACGCUGCACACUCCUCAUGCUUGGAUGCUUGCCAAGCACCCAUGCAAGUCUGAUCCUGUCCUUCCUGGCUGCUUAACUAAAACUUCACCGGGUACAGAUUAACUGAUGGCCUAGAGAUGACCAAACGAUAGAAAGGAGGAAGACAAAGGUCCUUGACACUGCAGUUGAGUGGAAAGGAGGUGCGGAUGAAUUAAUUAAUGGCACUAUGAACUGGACUAUGUAUAUGCUCCCUCCAUGUCAAAAAAAAAAUGUUGUUUUUGACUUUUAGGAAUAUUAUUUGAUAAUCUUUCUUAUUCAAAUUUUUUCCUAAAUAUCAUAUAUUUUGUUAUGGCUUAUUUUAUUAUUAAAUAUAUUUUAAUAAUUAUUUAUUUAUUUUAUAAUUUAUAUAAAAUUUUUGAAUAAGACGAAUGGUCAUAUCCGAAAAUAAAAAUGUCACUCUUUGAGAUGGAGGGAGUAUGUCACUACUACCAAAACAACUUUUCCCAGAUAGGCACACUACAUUAACCGAGGUAGGUAUCGAGUUCCUCUAAUCUAAAGGUCAUAGUUAAUAAGUUAUCUACCAAGGCAGUUCAAAGGUCUAUCUCGGUAAAUCAAUUAAAAAACAAAAAAGAAAAGGAAAAAAAAGCCCGCAGCCUAAACUGGGCCUGCAUCUAGGCCUGGAUCCGCCGCCACUCGCUAGGGCUGCGUCGCCGCAUCACACGUGCACUACUACACAAGUGUUAACCGUGACGGGCACUUUACGUUUACUACAGCGGUCAUUGGCGUCCGCCACGAAUGAAAGGUCACGGUUAAUCGUGGCCACACUGUGGCGGGCGCCUGUGCCCGCUGCAGAAAAUAGAAUUAUCGUAGUGGGCAACAUAAGGUGCCCGCUGCGGUUAAUCCCAUUAACCGCAAUGGGCAUCUUAUGUUACCCGUCAUGGCUAAUGAUUUAAAAACAAAAAAACCCUAGACAGGCCCGCCGAGCCCAUCCAGGCUGUUGCCGCCGCCACCAGGGAAACCCUAGCGUCACCGGUCCAAGGUCGUCGCCAUCGUCAUCCAUGGAUCCGCUCUAAUCCACCUUCUCACGCUGGAAGCAAUCAACCCCCACAUAGGAGGGAGAGACACGACCCCCGCCGCCACCGGAGAUGGGCGUUACCAGCCUCCACCUCCCAGAUCUGGCUCAUGGCGGCUCCUUUACCGGAUCUAGAAAGAGAGAAGGAAGAACAGUGAGAUGAGUGAAAAAGAGAGGGGGACGGAAAGAAGAGGAGCAGCAGCGGCGUACCUCAUGUCGACACAAAGGGGGAUCCGCGUCUUGGCGCCUUCCCCGCCG